Molecule: ribosomal RNA, 242 nt
Filed under: uncultured bacterium
Lineage: Bacteria
Description: partial 16S ribosomal RNA
Rfam family: Bacterial small subunit ribosomal RNA
Source: RNAcentral
CGACCGGCAAACGGGUGCGGAACACGUACGCAACCUUCCUUUAACUGGAGAAUAGCCCCUCGAAAGAGGGAUUAAUACUCCGUAACAUAUUGAUAAGGCAUCUUAUUAAUAUUAUAGCUCCGGCGGUUAAAGAUGGGCGUGCGCCUGAUUAGGUAGUUGGCGGGGUAACGGCCCACCAAGCCUUCGAUCAGUAACUGGUGUGAGAGCACGACCAGUCACACGGGCACUGAGACACGGGCCCG